GUGAGAGGCCUUGAAAGCCUAACUGGGAGGGCUGUUUCCUCUGCAGUGCAGAUACAGCUCUUGUGAACAUUGUAGAUCAGUUUAUUUUUCAUUCUUUUCUCCACAGAAGCUAUAAAAGCCGGAGAGCAUCCCUCUUCCAGAGUAGUCUGCAGUUUGGAGAUACCCUGGGAAAGAAAGAGGCACAGAAUCCAGGAGAAAAGAUGAAAAAUCAUCUCAUGCUUUCCAGAAAUUCUUCCGGACGGUUCUUCUUUUUUACUAUGUGACAACACCUCUAGUGAAUUGAGCAAAACUGUUGAAUGGAUCCACCUGCUGUUUGAACAAAAAAGACAGAUAAAGGACAUGAUACCUAUGCCUUCUUACAGUCAAUGCAGGAGGUGUCUGAUCUAUGAAACAACCUGUGUGAAGGUUGUGUGUAAAGCAGUGCUACCACCACAAACUUGGCCAAGAUGUCUUUCUUCUGAGAACCAGGGCCCAUGUGUGGAAGUUGUACGUCUCUAAAGAGCACAG
This 507-nucleotide long non-coding RNA is filed under the name Numida meleagris (helmeted guineafowl). Its description in RNAcentral is "lncRNA (ENSNMEG00000021873.1)". The record is from RNAcentral. Lineage: Eukaryota; Metazoa; Chordata; Aves; Galliformes; Numididae.